GGAAGACUUGCUAUGGUUAUAGAAAUCAUGAAGGGCUACAGCUUCAUCUUCACCUGCUCAAACAAUGAUCGCUAUUCAGGAGGAGUUUUCAAUCUCAUCUACUCUGGCUCCAACAUGAAACACAAUAAGACAUCUGUCAACAGCUCAGCCUCCUUUAGUUUCCCUGUAGCUGACUUUGGACACGAGGGCCGCUACAGCUGUGUGUAUGAGAUAACUCUGACAGAAGGAACAUUCACUUCUCCUGAGGCGGAGUGGAUUUAUGUCUCCGUUAUAUAUUCAAGAACUCCAAUCCUGAGAUAUGUUCUCCUGCCUCUGGUUCUGCUUUUGGAGAACAUUGCCCUUCAUUUCUACUAUAAGGUCAUCAAAAAGCAGAAAUCAGACAAAAAGGAGAACGAUGAGACGGAUGUUUCCAGAGCUGAAGAAGUGGAGGCUGAGGAGGAAGCGGUCCAAGAAAUAGAAUAGAAUUGAAACACAUAGAAACACACACAAGUUUAAAAUCCACUAUCUGAUUUUAUCUAUAUCUAUCUCUUUCUAUAUAUGUAUAUAGAUAUAUAUUAGUCCAUAUAUACUCCAGUCCUCUCUCUUUUUUCAUCUUUCUCUGAUUCUAAAAGUGAAGUUUUUACAGAUUAAGUAUUUUUUUCCCUCAAUAACCUCUAUCUUUAGCUAGACAGAAUAUGUGUCAGUUUGUGAUGUCUUUGUACUCUCG
Molecule: long non-coding RNA, 706 nt
Organism: Astatotilapia calliptera (eastern happy)
Lineage: Eukaryota; Metazoa; Chordata; Actinopteri; Cichliformes; Cichlidae
Source: Ensembl